RNAcentral lists this ribosomal RNA (775 nucleotides) under uncultured Neocallimastigales. RNAcentral describes it as "partial large subunit ribosomal RNA". It matches the Rfam family "Eukaryotic large subunit ribosomal RNA", at positions 24 to 649 of the family's 3401-position model. The record is from RNAcentral. Lineage: Eukaryota; Fungi; Neocallimastigomycota; Neocallimastigomycetes; Neocallimastigales.
UAUGUGAUCGUCUCUCGCAUAUCAAUAAGCGGAGGAAAAGAAACUAACAAGGAUUCCCCUAGUAACGGCGAGUGAAGCGGGAAGAGCUCAAAUUUGAAAUCUUAAAGGGUUUCCCUUUACGAAUUGUAGUUUAAAGGAGUGUUUUCUGUUGAGGUUUUGGUAAAAGUUCUUUGGAAUAGGACAUCAUAGAGGGUGAGAAUCCCGUAUUUGACCUUUACUUUCAACUUUGUGAUACACUUUCAAAGAGUCGGAUUGUUUGGGAAUGCAGUCCAAAAUGGGUGGUAAAUUUCAUCUAAAGUUAAAUAUUGGCGAGAGACCGAUAGCGAACAAGUACCGUGAGGGAAAGAUGAAAAGAACUUUGAAAAGAGAGUUAAACAGUACGUGAAAUUGUCAAAAGGGAAGCGUUUGACACCAGUGUUGUUUUUCUGAAAAUCAAUUAAAGAACUGUUUAUGCUAAGUUGUUUAGACUUUAUCAGCUAAUCUGCUUAGUUUUGAGCUUUUCUUUAAUGCACUUUUCAGUUAACAAGUCAACAUCAAUUUCUUUUGCUGUAAAAAAGCUUGAGGAAGGUGGCUUGAGAUUCGUCUUAAGUGUUUAUAGCCUCUUGCCUAUGCAGUCGGAGAGAUUGAGGUCUGCAGCGUAGAUCCUUCGGGGCUAAAUGCAUUUGUGCUAAGUUAUAGCAUUUUAUAGACAACUUGUUGACUAUGAUUUGUCUUGUAGCUUACUCGCUUAUGUUAUUUUACCUACGCUUAGGAUGUUGAGUAGCGACAUACGCAC